CAUUAGUUAUGUCUCUAAUGGCCUGGGAGGUGUUAACUUCCUUCUGUCCAGGCCUCGCUCACAGCGACAGGAGCACCGUCUGGGGCCCUUGCCUCCUGGGUCCCACUUCUAGGGAGACUCCCCCUUGCUUUGUAAGUAGGACCCAGGACGCGCUCUUGGAGCAGCAUAACAGAGACUGGAGGCUGGAGACAGCACAGCCCCCCCGGAGGUCUGCAUUACAUGUAUUGAAUUUGGAGACAUGCAAAAUAUUUUCUGGCUCAGGGUUCAUCGCGGGGGAGCUGAACAGUGCUCAGCCACACAGCCCCUGCCGGCCUGCACAGUGGGUGAGUGGAGCCUGCCUCCGAGGACACUCCUGCCUUCCCCUGAUGCCCCACCAAAGGGGACAGGAGCCAGUUAUCUCUGUGGCCCCCUCUCCCACCUUCGGCUCUGAUCCUGAGUCUGCCUGCUUGAGCCUCCUUCCCCAGAACGUUCCGUACCCAUCAGUGCUGCUCACGUGGGCCGGGGCGCCGUGGUCUGAAAGGUGGGGCACGGCCAGACCGCCCAGCCCCUCCCCGGCCCGGCUCUAGAGGAACCCUGCUGCGGUGGCUCCUGGCAAGGCAGCGGUGUCCCCCCCACCCCUGUCCCCGAGGCGGCCUGCCCCGCCCCCUUCCUGCUUCCUCUGUGCUGCUGAGUCACGUCCCAGCCCCGCUCGGGCGGUUAUGACUUGUGGUUGGUCAGAAAUGUUUCUGGUUGAGUUGUGGGUGGCUGAAUGUCCUUCCUGCCCCUGGAGAGGAAA
Non-coding RNA from Vicugna pacos (alpaca), 775 nucleotides. The record is from RefSeq and is a predicted model, not a curated record. Lineage: Eukaryota; Metazoa; Chordata; Mammalia; Artiodactyla; Camelidae.